CUAGUAACGGCGAGUGAAGCGGCAACAGCUCAAAUUUGAAAUCUGGCCCUCGGGUCCGAGUUGUAAUUUGUAGAGGAUGCUUUUGGCGCGGUGCCUUCCGAGUUCCCUGGAACGGGACGCCUUAGAGGGUGAGAGCCCCGUACGGUUGGACACCAAGCCUCUGUAAAGCUCCUUCGACGAGUCGAGUAGUUUGGGAAUGCUGCUCUAAAUGGGAGGUAAAUUUCUUCUAAAGCUAAAUAUUGGCCAGAGACCGAUAGCGCACAAGUAGAGUGAUCGAAAGAUGAAAAGCACUUUGAAAAGAGGGUUAAAUAGCACGUGAAAUUGUUGAAAGGGAAGCGUUUGCGACCAGACCUUUUCCUAGCGGAUCAUCCGGUGUUCUCACCGGUGCACUUCGCUAGGUUUAGGCCAGCAUCGGUUUCUAUAGGGGGAUAAAAGCUCUGGGAACGUAGCUCCUCCGGGAGUGUUAUAGCCCUCUGCAUAAUACCUUUAUAGGGACCGAGGACCGCG
Molecule: ribosomal RNA, 507 nt
Filed under: Xylariaceae sp. CO-WC-2012
Lineage: Eukaryota; Fungi; Ascomycota; Sordariomycetes; Xylariales; Xylariaceae
Description: eukaryotic LSU rRNA
Rfam family: Eukaryotic large subunit ribosomal RNA
Source: RNAcentral